GCUCCGUGUUCACUUUUACUGAUGCUAACUUUUACUAACAGACUUUUAAAACGGAAUUCACACUGUCAGACUGCCAAUUAAUGGGUUAUUUUUAAUCCAGGCUUCUGGAUGGCCAGACAGAUCACCCCCACCAGCUCAAACACGCAGCUUCCCCCAACCACCUGCAGGGCCAUGAGUGGAACAUGGAGCGAGUCUGAUCUGAUGCUGCUAAUUAACAUUUGCUGGAACUGGAACUCUGUGGAUUGGUUUCACUGGAAGCAGCUGAGGUGAAGAUCUGAGUCAUGGAGGGAGAGGGGCAGGGCAGGAGUCAGGCCACACAGCGUGAUGAUCCCUGGAAAGAUCCUGAGGGUUAGAAGCUGAGAGUGAUGGUCACCUUCACAGCCGCUGGUAGGGCCGGGCCUCGGUGGAUUGGGGCCAUGUGACAAGUCGGUCACCACCUCAUGGUUUAGCCUCAGUUGCCUUUGGCACUGCUCCUUCGUCAUGUUGAGGUUGCUUUAGGUUUGAACGUUGGGAUAUCUUUGGGAGUGAGUGGUUAAGGAAAUUUUGCCAAAUUGUGAACCAGAGCAACGGGGCCGCUUAUGUGGCACCAGCCCAACGAUGUCGUCAUCAUGAGGGUUAAGAUUUGCCUAGGAACCAGUCACCUGCUGGACUGACAAACAACGGCUCAUUGGAGUGAGAAAAAAAGUUCAGAAAAAAUACCUGAUCUGUUAAAAAGGAAAUUUUGAAAACUGCAAUAAAAGCAAAUGGAAAUGG
Long non-coding RNA from Carcharodon carcharias (great white shark), 753 nucleotides. RefSeq lists it as uncharacterized. Lineage: Eukaryota; Metazoa; Chordata; Chondrichthyes; Lamniformes; Lamnidae. The transcript is spliced from 4 exons. The record is from RefSeq and is a predicted model, not a curated record.